AAUUAUUGGGCGUAAAGAGCUCGUAGGGCGGUUUGUCGCGUCUGCUGUGAAAUCCCGAGGCUCAACCUCGGGCUUGCAGUGGGUACGGGCAGACUAGAGUGCGGUAGGGGAGAUUGGAAUUCCUGGUGUAGCGGUGGAAUGCGCAGAUAUCAGGAGGAACACCGAUGGCGAAGGCAGAUCUCUGGGCCGUAACUGACGCUGAGGAGCGAAAGCAUGGGGAGCGAACAGGAUUAGAUACCCUGGUAGUCCAUGCCGUAAACGUUGGGCGCUAGAUGUAGGGACCUUUCCACGGUUUCUGUGUCGUAGCUAACGCAUUAAGCGCCCCGCCUGGGGAGUACGGCCGCAAGGCUAAAACUCAAAGGAAUUGACGGGGGCCCGCACAAGCGGCGGAGCAUGCGGAUUAAUUCGAUGCAACGCGAAGAACCUUACCAAGGCUUGACAUACACCGGAAACGGCCAGAGAUGGUCGCCCCCUUGUGGUCGGUGUACAGGUGGUGCAUGGUUGUCGUCAGCUCGUGUCGUGAGAUGUUGGGUUAAGUCCCGCAACGAGCGCAACCCUCGUUCUAUGUUGCCAGCGGGUUAUGCCGGGGACUCAUAGGAGACUGCCGGGGUCAACUCGGAGGAAGGUGGGGAUGACGUCAAAUCAUCAUGCCCCUUAUGUCUUGGGCUUCACGCAUGCUACAAUGGCCGGUACAAAGGGCUGCGAUACCGUAAGGUGGAGCGAAUCCCAAAAAGCCGGUCUCAGUUCGGAUUGAGGUCUGCAACUCGACCUCAUGAAGUCGGAGUCGCUAGUAAUCGCAG
RNAcentral lists this ribosomal RNA (800 nucleotides) under Curtobacterium sp. R16. RNAcentral describes it as "bacterial SSU rRNA". It matches the Rfam family "Bacterial small subunit ribosomal RNA", at positions 549 to 1347 of the family's 1533-position model. RNAcentral also lists the same sequence under 1 other name. The record is from RNAcentral. Lineage: Bacteria; Bacillati; Actinomycetota; Actinomycetes; Micrococcales; Microbacteriaceae.